UACGUAGGGUGCAAGCGUUAAUCGGAAUUACUGGGCGUAAAGCGUGCGCAGGCGGCUUUGCAAGACAGAUGUGAAAUCCCCGGGCUUAACCUGGGAACUGCAUUUGUGACUGCAUGGCUAGAGUGCGGCAGAGGGGGAUGGAAUUCCGCGUGUAGCAGUGAAAUGCGUAGAUAUGCGGAGGAACACCGAUGGCGAAGGCGAUCCCCUGGGCCUGCACUGACGCUCAUGCACGAAAGCGUGGGGAGCAAACAGG
RNAcentral lists this ribosomal RNA (253 nucleotides) under uncultured bacterium. RNAcentral's name for it is "partial 16S ribosomal RNA". It matches the Rfam family "Bacterial small subunit ribosomal RNA", at positions 524 to 776 of the family's 1533-position model. The record is from RNAcentral.